Molecule: ribosomal RNA, 498 nt
Filed under: uncultured bacterium
Lineage: Bacteria
Description: bacterial SSU rRNA
Rfam family: Bacterial small subunit ribosomal RNA
Source: RNAcentral
ACUCAAAGGAAUUGACGGGGGCCCGCACAAGCAGUGGAGUAUGUGGUUUAAUUCGACGCAACGCGAAGAACCUUACCAGGGCUUGACAUAUACAGGAAUAUACUAGAGAUAGUAUAGCUCUUCGGAGCCUGUAUACAGGUGGUGCAUGGUUGUCGUCAGCUCGUGUCGUGAGAUGUUGGGUUAAGUCCCGCAACGAGCGCAACCCCUGUUUCUAGUUGCCAGCGAGUAAUGUCGGGAACUCUAGAGAGACUGCCGGUGUUAAAUCGGAGGAAGGUGGGGACGACGUCAAAUCAUCAUGCCCUUUAUGUCCUGGGCUACACACGUACUACAAUGGCUAUUACAAAGAGAAGCAAGACAGUGAUGUGGAGCAAAACUCAAAAAAAUAGUCUCAGUUCGGAUUGAAGGCUGAAAUUCGCCUUCAUGAAGCUGGAAUUGCUAGUAAUGGCAGGUCAGCAUACUGCCGUGAAUACGUUCCCGGGCCUUGCACACACCGCCCGU